RNAcentral lists this ribosomal RNA (468 nucleotides) under uncultured bacterium. Its description in RNAcentral is "partial 16S ribosomal RNA". It matches the Rfam family "Bacterial small subunit ribosomal RNA", at positions 28 to 507 of the family's 1533-position model. The record is from RNAcentral.
GACGAACGCUGGCGGCGUGCUUAACACAUGCAAGUCGAACGGCAAGGGCCUGCUUUCGUGGGCUUCUUGAGUGGCGAACGGGACCGUCACACGUGAGUAACCUGCCCUCGACGUUGGGACCACACCUGGAAACUGGGGCUAAUACCCGCUCGGUGCUCCUGCUGCUUGGUGGGGGUUGGAACUUAUCGGCGGCUGGGGUUGGACUCGCGGGUUAUCAGCUUGUUGGUGGGGAAGUGGCUUACCAAGGCUUUGAGGGGUAGCCGGCCUGAGAGGGUGACCGGCCACAUUGGGACUGAGAGACGGCCCAGACUCCUACGGGAGGCAGCAGUGGGGAAUAUUGCACAAUGGGCGGAAGCCUGAUGAAGCAACGCCGCGUGCGGGAUGACGACCUUCGGGUUGUAACCCGCUUUCGCCUGUGACCAAGCCUGAGUGACGGUAACGGGUAAAGAAGCACCGGCUAACUACGUG